RNAcentral lists this ribosomal RNA (465 nucleotides) under Vreelandella stevensii. RNAcentral describes it as "partial 16S ribosomal RNA". It matches the Rfam family "Bacterial small subunit ribosomal RNA", at positions 338 to 795 of the family's 1533-position model. Lineage: Bacteria; Pseudomonadati; Pseudomonadota; Gammaproteobacteria; Oceanospirillales; Halomonadaceae. The record is from RNAcentral.
CCUACGGGAGGCUGCAGUGGGGAAUAUUGGACAAUGGGGGGAACCCUGAUCCAGCCAUGCCGCGUGUGUGAAGAAGGCCCUCGGGUUGUAAAGCACUUUCAGUGAGGAAGAACGCCUGGUGGUUAAUACCCAUCAGGAAAGACAUCACUCACAGAAGAAGCACCGGCUAACUCCGUGCCAGCAGCCGCGGUAAUACGGAGGGUGCGAGCGUUAAUCGGAAUUACUGGGCGUAAAGCGCGCGUAGGUGGCUUGAUAAGCCGGUUGUGAAAGCCCCGGGCUCAACCUGGGAACGGCAUCCGGAACUGUCAAGCUAGAGUGCAGGAGAGGAAGGUAGAAUUCCAGGUGUAGCGGUGAAAUGCGUAGAGAUCGGGAGGGAUACCAGUGGCGAAGGCGGCCUUCUGGACUGACACUGACACUGAGGUGCGAAAGCGUGGGUAGCAAACAGGAUUAGAUACCCUUGUAGUC